GUACAUCAAGCGAUGAGAACUUUUGAAUAUUGUACUUUCAGACGCAUGAAAUUGUGUUCUGAACCUGAAAACAUGAUCUGGACGCAUGCGUAGUAAGGGACACGUUUCCUGCGUCAAAACGUACCACGUUGUAGCCCCUCCCACCUCAAUAUCCGGGACUUUGACUCUGUUUGACUUCCGGCAUGUGGCGAUGAAUCGCUUAUUCAGACAGGGAGAUGAGGUUUCUUAAAUAUGGAUCAAAGUGUUGAAAUUACUCAAUUACAUUUACAAAAUGAAAACGUUACAGCAAGGCGUUUGUGAGAAAAAUGAAUGAAGAAAUUAAAACAACUUUUUCCACAUUGCAUUACAACUACAUAGCUGACGCUGGAUUGCUAAAUUAGUUUAUUUUCAUUGAAGUAGCAUGGCUAGUUAGCUAGUUAGCAAUAGUCUUCUGUCUAGACUCUAGCCUGUAACUAAUGGUUGUUACGUUGUGGAACAGAGCAAUAGUUAUUUCUACUUGUCAUUAGUUUGAGACUAACAUUAGUUAGAAAAUAAUUGUUUACUUUGUGUAUAUUUGUUGUGUAAUUGGUUGGCGUUGCUAGUUAGCAAGCUGAGAUUGAUUUGCUCAAAUUGGCUAAUUUUGCGAUUAACUAGUGUUUUAAUAAGAGAACAGGCUAGCUCCCUGCACAACCUAGAGUAGAGAAUGUGGAAUAAGAUUUGUCUGUUGCAGUGCCCAGACGAGGUGAGAGCAAACUGCUACAGAGAUAAAAGCCACAACAUCAUAAUCAAGUACUCAAGCAUCUGCAGACCAACGAGGAGGAGGAAGGCUUAUAGAACAUGAAUUACUAGCUCGUUAUAUCAGAGACAUUUUAUUGGCUUGCUAAAUGAGCUGCUUUUCCUGAAAAUGUCUCUGAUAAAACUACACUGUUAGAAAAAAAGCAGACGCUCUUAUCCAGAGCAAACACCAUGCUCUACCAACUGAGCCACAGGGAACUGAGCCACAGGGAACUGAGCCACAGGGAACUGUUGUUAGACACAACUUGAUGAACAGGUAGUCAAGCCCCUGAAGACCAGCGAGGAGGAGAAAAGCCUGCUGUGGAUGAGCAAGCUAGAACAAUAACACCUAGCUAUAUCAGAUAAACAUGUUCAGGAAAAGCAGGGAGCUAGUAGUAGUAACAUUAUUAUUUGAAACCUCACAUGCUCAUAAUCUGUAUCUGUGUUCUAUUUAAGCAAUAAGGCACCUCAGGGGUUUGUGGUAUAUGGACGAUAUACCAGGGCUAAGGGCUGUUCUUAUGCACGACGUAAC
Molecule: long non-coding RNA, 1285 nt
Filed under: Salmo salar (Atlantic salmon)
Lineage: Eukaryota; Metazoa; Chordata; Actinopteri; Salmoniformes; Salmonidae
Description: lncRNA (ENSSSAG00000085598.1)
Source: RNAcentral